AACCUUCCUCCAGAUUUCCACUUUCUAUUUCACUUUAGCUUUCUCCAGAUUUUCACUUUCAUAUUUUUAUAGCAUAUAACAGAAGUGAAACCUUUAAAAAUGGCAAAUAAUUAAGACCCUCCAUUUAAAAUGCCUUUCUAUGGUUCGAGUAAGCAGAAGUGUAUUCCUACCCCCCCGCCCCCCAAAAUUCAUCCUGUACUGUUUUCUCCUGCACAUAUUUUGACACCCUUGGAACGUUAAGCCUCAAAUGAAAAGGAAAUUUCUUUCUUGCCCCUCCCCUCCAUUCACAUGCAUCUAAGCAUUUCUGAUUAUAAGAAGUAAAGUUUGGCUUAUUUCAUCCUGUACUUGGCAGAUAACUGAAUGGCAAAAUGCAUGAUGCUGCCCAUGCAUGUAACAAACUGGAUGAAGUAAGCUAGUUGGUGAGGGUGUAAAAAAACCCAAACUAUCAGGAUCAUGUCCCUUAAGAGAAGAGCCUCUUGUCCUUUGUUGUCGGGCUGCAGGGAAGAUGCAAAAGAAAUUGGGGCAGGCGGGAGAGCUCUUCAGCUGUGAUUUUAAGUGCUAUUCUACUGUACGUCAGGAUUCCUUGGUUUUUGUAUACACAUCAAAUGACUGUGCAGAGAGAUGACUUUAUGCAGUGGAAAUAUUAUUUAGCGGCUUAAUAGGAUCCUAAAAAUGCUGUGCAAUUUUAGGGACCUUGGCUUCAAUCCUGUGUCUUUUUUUUUUUUUAAAGCAUUCAAUAUUGAAUAAUUUAUUUAAA
Molecule: long non-coding RNA, 757 nt
Organism: Heteronotia binoei (common prickly gecko)
Lineage: Eukaryota; Metazoa; Chordata; Lepidosauria; Squamata; Gekkonidae
Exons: 2
Source: RefSeq, a predicted model, not a curated record